GCCUGAUCAGCCAUGCCGCGUGUGUGAAGAAGGCCUUCGGGUUGUAAAGCACUUUCAGCGAGGAAGAACGCCUUGGGAUUAAUACUCCCGAGGAAAGACAUCACUCGCAGAAGAAGCACCGGCUAACUCCGUGCCAGCAGCCGCGGUAAUACGGAGGGUGCAAGCGUUAAUCGGAAUUACUGGGCGUAAAGCGCGCGUAGGUGGCUAAGUCAGCCAGGUGUGAAAGCCCCGGGCUCAACCUGGGAACGGCAUCUGGAACUGCUUGGCUAGAGUGCAGGAGAGGAAGGUAGAAUUCCCGGUGUAGCGGUGAAAUGCGUAGAGAUCGGGAGGAAUACCAGUGGCGAAGGCGGCCUUCUGGACUGACACUGACACUGAGGUGCGAAAGCGUGGGUAGCAAACAGGAUUAGAUACCCUGGUAGUCCACGCCGUAAACGAUGUCAACUAGCCGUUGGGUCCCUUGAGGACUUAGUGGCGCAGCUAACGCAAUAAGUUGACCGCCUGGGGAGUACGGCCGCAAGGUUAAAACUCAAAUGAAUUGACGGGGGCCCGCACAAGCGGUGGAGCAUGUGGUUUAAUUCGAUGCAACGCGAAGAACCUUACCUACCCUUGACAUCCAGAGGACUUUCCAGAGAUGGAUUGGUGCCUUCGGGAACUCUGAGACAGGUGCUGCAUGGCUGUCGUCAGCUCGUGUUGUGAAAUGUUGGGUUAAGUCCCGUAACGAGCGCAACCCCUAUCCUUAUUUGCCAGCGAGUAAUGUCGGGAACUCUAAGGAGACUGCCGGUGACAAACCGGAGGAAGGUGGGGACGACGUCAAGUCAUCAUGGCCCUUACGGGUAGGGCUACACACGUGCUACAAUGGCAAGUACAAAGGGUUGCAAUACUGCGAAGUGGAGCCAAUCCCAUAAAGCUUGCCUCAGUCCGGAUUGGAGUCUGCAACUCGACUCCAUGAAGUCGGAAUCGCUAGUAAUCGUGGAUCAGAAUGCCACGGUGAAUACGUUCCCGGGCCUUGUACACACCGCCCGUCACACCAUGGGAGUGGACUGCACCAGAAGUGGUUAGCCUAACCUUCGGGAGGGCGAUCACCACGGUGUGGUUCAUGACUGGGUGAUCGU
Molecule: ribosomal RNA, 1112 nt
Filed under: Cobetia sp. 7514M
Lineage: Bacteria; Pseudomonadati; Pseudomonadota; Gammaproteobacteria; Oceanospirillales; Halomonadaceae
Description: bacterial SSU rRNA
Rfam family: Bacterial small subunit ribosomal RNA
Source: RNAcentral